UAACGCGUGGAUAAUCUGCCCUGCACAGGGGGACAACAGCUAGAAAUGGCUGCUAAUACCGCAUAAGCCUACAGCCUCGCAUGAGGGAGUAGGAAAAGAAAUUCGGUGCAGGAUGAGUCCGCGUCUGAUUAGCUAGUUGGAGGGGUAAGAGCCCACCAAGGCAACGAUCAGUAGCCGGCCUGAGAGGGCGACCGGCCACAUUGGGACUGAGACACGGCCCAAACUCCUACGGGAGGCAGCAG
This 242-nucleotide ribosomal RNA is filed under the name uncultured bacterium. RNAcentral's name for it is "partial 16S ribosomal RNA". It matches the Rfam family "Bacterial small subunit ribosomal RNA", at positions 111 to 354 of the family's 1533-position model. The record is from RNAcentral.